CAAUAGCGUAUAUUAAAGUUGUUGCGGUAAAAAAGCUCGUAGUUGGAUUUCUGUUGAGAGCGACCGGUCCAUACCAUGUAUGCGUAUCUGGCUUGCUCUCGGCAUCCUCUCGAUAGACGUUACUGCGCUUGAUUGCGUGGUGCGGAGCUCGGGACUUUUACUUUGAGGAAAUUAGAGUGUUCACGGCAGGCUUUCGCCAGAAUACAUUAGCAUGGAAUAAUACUAUAGGAUCUUGGUUCUAUUUUGUUGGUUUCUAGAAUUGAGAUAAUGAUUAAUAGGGACAAUUGGGGGCAUUCGUAUCAACACGUCAGAGGUGGAAUUCUUGGAUUGUGUUGCGACGAACUACUGCGAAAGCAUUUGCCAAGGAUGUUUUCAUUGA
This 379-nucleotide ribosomal RNA is filed under the name uncultured eukaryote. RNAcentral describes it as "partial 18S ribosomal RNA". It matches the Rfam family "Eukaryotic small subunit ribosomal RNA", at positions 592 to 976 of the family's 1831-position model. The record is from RNAcentral.